RNAcentral lists this ribosomal RNA (253 nucleotides) under uncultured bacterium. Its description in RNAcentral is "partial 16S ribosomal RNA". It matches the Rfam family "Bacterial small subunit ribosomal RNA", at positions 524 to 776 of the family's 1533-position model. The record is from RNAcentral.
UACGUAGGGUCCGAGCGUUGUCCGGAAUUAUUGGGCGUAAAGGGCUCGUAGGCGGUUUGUCGCGUCGGGAGUGAAAACACCGGGCUUAACUCGGUGCUUGCUUUCGAUACGGGCAGACUGGAGGUAUGCAGGGGAGAACGGAAUUCCUGGUGUAGCGGUGAAAUGCGCAGAUAUCAGGAGGAACACCCGUAGCGAAGGCGGCACUCUGGGCCGAUUCUGACACUGAGGAGCGAAAGCGUGGGGAGCGAACAGG